This is a non-coding RNA of Cordylochernes scorpioides, 115 nucleotides long. The record is from the annotation of a GenBank genome assembly. Lineage: Eukaryota; Metazoa; Arthropoda; Arachnida; Pseudoscorpiones; Chernetidae.
ACGACCAUAGCACAUUGAAAACAUUGUUCCUUGUCGGAUCAACGAAGUUAAGCAAUGUCGGGCCCGGUCAGUACUUGGGAGGUUGACCACUUGGGAACAAAUGAUACUCUAGGCU